UUAACCUACCCUUGACAUGUCUGGAAUCCCGAAGAGAUUUGGGAGUGCUCGCAAGAGAACCGGAACACAGGUGCUGCAUGGCUGUCGUCAGCUCGUGUCGUGAGAUGUUGGGUUAAGUCCCGCAACGAGCGCAACCCUUGUCAUUAGUUGCUACGAAAGGGCACUCUAAUGAGACUGCCGGUGACAAACCGGAGGAAGGUGGGGAUGACGUCAAGUCCUCAUGGCCCUUAUGGGUAGGGCUUCACACGUCAUACAAUGGUCGGGACAGAGGGUUGCCAAGCCGCGAGGUGGAGCCAAUCCCAGAAACCCGAUCGUAGUCCGGAUUGCAGUCUGCAACUCGACUGCAUGAAGUCGGAAUCGCUAGUAAUCGCGGAUCAGAAUGUCGCGGUGAAUACGUUCCCGGGUCUUGUACACACCGCCCGUCACACCAUGGGAGUGGGUUUCACCAGAAGUAGGUAGCCUAACCGUAAGGAGGGCGCUUACCACGGUGGGAUUCAUGACUGGGGUGAAGUCGUAACAAGGUAAGCGUAGUGCU
Molecule: ribosomal RNA, 535 nt
Filed under: uncultured bacterium
Lineage: Bacteria
Description: bacterial SSU rRNA
Rfam family: Bacterial small subunit ribosomal RNA
Source: RNAcentral